GCUGAGAGACUUUUUAUCUUCCUCAAAGGAAACUGUGUUCAUAACAAACAUAAAGCUGUUUUAAUUAUAUUUUAAUAUUUCAUGUAAACGAUUCAGUUUCAGUGUCAGGGAUCCAGAACCUGAAAGUGUCAUGCAGUCAUGAGAAGAUCUGUGCUCUGAGGGAGUCGUCUGUAAACCUGACGUGCUCUUACUCAAAUAUCAACAUCACCACUGGAUUCUGGUUCAGCUUCAAAGACUUUAGACUCCGACUACGCCGGACGUGUGAACUACACAGAGAUGACAAACUCAAGAUCAACAGACCCGAGAGAGAGAGAUGCGGGGGAAUAUCGCUUCAUGCUCAUUACGGAUAAAGGAGAGAAAUACGUGAGCUCAGCUGGAGUUACUCUGACAGUUACAGAUCUGCAGGUGAUCCGUCACUACAAAAGUCAAGCUCUAAUCUGCCACACUUCCUGUCAUCUAACCUUUGCUGCUAAUGUGUACUACUGGUACAAGGAUCAAUACAUACAGGAUAACAAAGACACCCAGGGAACUUUCCCUUUAAGCAAUGAUGAAGAAGUCAGUUACUCCUGCUCUGUUCACGGCUAUAACGAGAUUCGAGCUCCUUCUCUGUGUGUUGGAAGGAGCUGUAUGAGGGUGACCUACCCAGACAAGAGAGUUUGGAACCUUUGGAAGGGUCUUCAGUGGAAAUUGUGGAAAAAGUGCUUUCCAGUGGACAGAGUGUUAAAGAAGUAUUCUGGCAUUCUUCUAAGGACUUCAAGGACCUGAAGCAUGAGUUUACUAAUCGAGUUGAAUAUGUGAAGCAAGACAGAAACUGCACUCUGAAAAUGAACCAGCUGAGAAAGAAAGACUCUGGAGAAUAUCGGCUUAGAGUAGUUUAUACAUCUAACCGAAUCUCGGGUAGACCUGGAGUGGUUCUUAAUGUUACAGAUCUGCAGGUAAGACUGAGUCACUAUGCAGGGUCAUCAGAAGAACGGACGACAGUAACGCUGAGCUGCAUCACCUCCUGCACUCUGUCCAACAGCCCCACUUACCUGUGGUACAAGAACAGACAGCCUGUUACUGAUAAACUCACCAAACACAACAAACUCUACCUCUUCUUCAGCGAAGAUGCAGGGAACUACUCCUGUGCUGUGAAAGGACGUGAGGAUCUUCGCUCUCCUGAACAAACUGUUAGACGUGAGAAUCAGUCAUUAUCUAGAAGGUUGUGGUAGCUCAGGUUCUGGUGGUACUUAACUUUAUCUUAAAAAGCUUUUUGCUUGGUUUGGAUUUUGUUUUUGUUUAUAAGUCACUUUGGAUUUAGGUUUCAGUCAAAUAAAUAAAGAGGAAAAUCCAGAAUUGCUUAUGAGGCAUUGCACAAUGUGUGUGUGUGUGUGUGUGUGUGUUUUUUUUAAAGUAUAUACAGCACAGUGCUGUUGUUGAAAUGUGGUUCUACUCCUGCUUCCUGCUUCAAAACAAAUCCCUGGUUUAUAUUACGGUUCUCACUGUAAUACCUCAUUGUUUCAUAUCUACUAGAACUAAAACAGAUUGCAAAAAAAAUGUGUAAUUGCUCAUGUGGGAAUGUUUUUUAAUAUAAGAAACAUUUAGGCAAGCAGUUUUCAGGUUCAACACUUUGUACUAUCAGGUUUUCUACUAUUUUUAGAAAAGAGAAGUUUAUGUUUAAGUUUGCUUUUUUUUUAUUGCAAUUACUUGGUAACAUGACCAGAGAACAGUAAUCACUUUAAUCACUUCUGCUUUUAAAAUAGAAUUAAAUAAAUAAUUUGUCUGUCAAUAAGUUUUCCGGUAACACUAACAGUUGUCCCUGUGCUAAAAGAGAACCAAGCUGUAGUGUGGAAGCUGUAUGCUGUAUGGGGAGCUGCUGCUGCACUUGUUCCUGCUUCUCUCUCUUCUUAUCGCCGUCCUGUGUGUUAAGAGGAAGAAAAGAGCAGAAAGAGACAUUCAGCUACUGAGAGAACUUUUCACUUCGUGUUUUAAUCUUCUUAAAGUUCCUAUAAAUCUGUUAAUAAAUAAAAACUAAAGAGGUUUUCUCUUCAAUUCUCUCAGUGUGUUCCAACGCCUGGAGAUGACACAUACACAGCGCUGAACCUCAUGACUGUGUCCCCAGAAUAUGACACACUGCAAAAUAUUAAAAGCUCUGCCAGUGACACUUACACCACCCUGAACCCUGCACCCAUGUGCUCUGAUUAUGAUACACUGAGGGUAAGUAAGUGUGUGUCUGCAUGCGUCUGCGUGUGUCUGCAUUUGAUGUUCCAUAUGCUGAAGUUUAAUUCAAUCCAAACACAAAGUCAACAGUCUUACAACAUGUUUCAUGAAUACGCAAAUAAUAGGCCAAAGGCUCAUAACAUACGCACAGAGAAUAAAACUUUACAUUGGACAGUAUUGCUUUUGUCUUAAUUGAGGGUCUGGUCUUAUUUGUCUUUGUUUCUGGAUUUGUGUUGGCUUGCUUUCUUUAAUUGUUUUUAAUAUCGGAGAUUUUAACUUGUAUAUGAAUAUACAUAAUGUGUAUAUGUAAGUGUAGUAAAGCGUGAUGUUAUAUGUUUUGAAGUCAAUUUAGGUUUACAUUAGGUUUUUUUCAUGAAUAAAAUUACAAUCAGGAACAUGAUAAGGAUAUAAAUGUUUUCUCCCAAAUUAUAGGAUUGUCAUCAGUACGACAUUUUAUCUGUAAAUGCUUCUGUGAACAAAUGAAAUCAUUUUCAGUGUGAUAAAUACACCCACGGUGUGUGUACUUAUGUGUGUGUGUCUGUGCAUCUGUGCUGCCAUUGAUAGAGUUUUUACUUCUCUAAACUCUUACACCAACAUUAUUAUUUAUGGCAUUAUUUAUAUUUUAUAUACAUUAUUUUAACAUUUAUUUACAUAAUUACAUAUGUAAUUAUGUAAUAUAUUAUUUACAUAUUUACAUAGCAUUAUUACAUAUUUUAUCU
Hemibagrus wyckioides is the source of this 2918-nucleotide RNA transcript. RefSeq lists it as uncharacterized. The transcript is spliced from 6 exons. NCBI's taxonomy places the organism in Eukaryota, Metazoa, Chordata, Actinopteri, Siluriformes, Bagridae. The record is from RefSeq and is a predicted model, not a curated record.